RNAcentral lists this non-coding RNA (26 nucleotides) under Homo sapiens (human). Lineage: Eukaryota; Metazoa; Chordata; Mammalia; Primates; Hominidae. The record is from RNAcentral.
UAAAACUCUGAGGCUUUGGUGAGCGC